UAUAGUAAUAAAAUAGAAAAAACAGACAAGUAUGUGUAUGUGAUGCAAAAGGUAAAAUUAAAAACAAGGCUAGAAUGCGUGAAUGUUAACUUUGAGUUCUACAACUAGGAGCAAAAUGCUAUGAACAUGGACUACAGUAGUUCAUACUAGAGGGAACAGUAACAUGAUCUGUGGCUGCUGGAGCUCGGCAAGUGAAACAGUGGUGUGAGAGUUGAUGGUGGAGCAGCACUGUGGGACCCAUUUUUGUAUUGUUACCUUAUGUGUGCCGCUACGGGUCACCUUUUGUGUUUUUACGUAUGGUGUGUUUAUGGAAAUGUAUUGAAGAUAAACGUAACUCAAGCCAGGUGUUUUUGGUCAGAACAAGCAAACAGUUUGUAAAAUCUGCGCUGUUAUGAUAAAUGACAUUGAAUAAAGAGAAGCAAAUAAAACUGAUGAAUACAAAAACAAUCUUAACCGUACAAGACAAGUAUAGAUUGAGUUGGGCUGUUACAAGUUUAAUUCAUAACAGUUACAUUGCCUCACCCCUGCCAUCAAACCCUUCAGUGGCUUCAAGUGUAGGCAUAGCCUCUACAGGUACUGCAGCAGAGGGAGAGCAGAGUCAGGAGGGUCUUGGAAGAAGUUCAGAAAAGAUCCAAAUAGGCAGUCUGAACAGUCUUACUUGUUUGCAGGUGGAGUAAUGCAUGAAUGGAUAAAAAAGAGUGAGAGGUUAUCAGCUGUUGAGGAGCAAAUGGAGAUCCGUGUCCAGGGGAGUGAUGCUAUUGCGAGUGUGAAAGGUUGUCCAGGAAGUAACUAAGAAGACAUGAACAGAGAGGUGGUGAUCCUCAGAGGAGCGAUGAAGUAGAGCAGCCAGCACCCCAAGUAGAGCAGGCACUGUGGAAAAAUAGUUGUGACUCAACCAGACCAUUACAAAGUAUGGCCUGGAGGAUUUUCAUCUCAAGGUGCAAGAACAUUCUUAAUGACUGUACACGGC
Molecule: long non-coding RNA, 970 nt
Organism: Oreochromis niloticus (Nile tilapia)
Lineage: Eukaryota; Metazoa; Chordata; Actinopteri; Cichliformes; Cichlidae
Exons: 2
Source: RefSeq, a predicted model, not a curated record